GACGCUGGCGGCGUGCCUAACACAUGCAAGUCGAACGGUAACAGGGACUUCGGUCCGCUGACGAGUGGCGCACGGGUGAGUAACGCGUGGAGUUACCUACCCAUCAGUGAGGAACAACCUGGAGAAAUCCAGGCUAAUACCGCAUACGACCUUCGGGUGAAAGAGGGGGAUCUUCGGACCUCUCGCUGAUGGAUGGUUCCGCGUCCGAUUAGUUAGUUGGUAAGGUAAUGGCUUACCAAGACGAUGAUCGGUAGCUGGUUUGAGAGGAUGAUCAGCCACACUGGAACUGAGACACGGUCCAGACUCCUACGGGAGGCAGCAGUGGGGAAUUUUGCACAAUGGGCGCAAGCCUGAUGCAGCGACGCCGCGUGCGGGAAGAAGGCCUUCGGGUUGUAAACCGCUUUCAACAGGGAAGAAGGGAAUGAGGGUCAAUACCCCUCUGCCUUGACGGUACCUGUAGAAGAAGCCCCGGCUAAUUUCGUGCCAGCAGCCGCGGUAAUACGAAAGGGGCAAGCGUUGUUCGGAUUUACUGGGCGUAAAGAGAUCGUAGGUGGCUUGUUAAGUCGGAUGUGAAAUCCCGGGGCUCAACCCCGGAACUGCAUUCGAUACUGGCAGGCUUGAGUUCGGGAGGGGGAAGCGGAAUUCCGUGUGUAGCAGUGAAAUGCGUAGAUAUACGGAGGAACACCUGAGGCGAAGGCGGCUUCCUGGACCGAUACUGACACUGAGGAUCGAAAGCGUGGGUAGCAAACAGGAUUAGAUACCCUGGUAGUCCACGCCCUAAACGAUGUCUACUAGCCGUUGCGGGUAUCGACCCCUGCAGUGGCGCAGCUAACGCGAUAAGUAGACCGCCUGGGGAGUAC
Molecule: ribosomal RNA, 860 nt
Filed under: uncultured Zetaproteobacteria bacterium
Lineage: Bacteria; Pseudomonadati; Pseudomonadota; Candidatius Mariprofundia
Description: bacterial SSU rRNA
Rfam family: Bacterial small subunit ribosomal RNA
Source: RNAcentral